Molecule: ribosomal RNA, 454 nt
Filed under: uncultured bacterium
Lineage: Bacteria
Description: bacterial SSU rRNA
Rfam family: Bacterial small subunit ribosomal RNA
Source: RNAcentral
GACGACGCUGGCGGCGUGCCUAACACAUGCAAGUCGAACGAAGCAUAGCAAUAUGCUUAGUGGCGGACGGGUGAGUAACGCGUGAACAAUCUGCCCUGUACAAAGGAAUAGCCUCGGGAAACCGGGAUUAAAACCGUAUGACACUUUAGUAUCGCAUGAUAAGAAAGUCAAAUCGAAUAGAGGUAUGGGAUGAGUUCGCGUCUGAUUAGCUGGUUGGCGGGGUAACGGCCCACCAAGGCGACGAUCAGUAGCCGGCCUGAGAGGGUGAACGGCCACACUGGAACUGAGACACGGUCCAGACUCCUACGGGAGGCAGCAGUGGGGAAUAUUGCACAAUGGAGGGAACUCUGAUGCAGCGACGCCGCGUGAGUGAAGAAGGUCUUCGGAUCGUAAAACUCUGUCCUUGGUGAAGAAAAGGACGGUAGCCAAGGAGGAAGCCCCGGCUAACUACGUG